AUACGGAGGAUCCGAGCGUUAUCCGGAUUUAUUGGGUUUAAAGGGUGCGCAGGCGGCCAUUUAAGUCAGCGGUUAAAUCGUGGGGCUCAACCCCAUUCUGCCGUUGAUACUGGGUGGCUUGAUUGCGGUCGAGGCUGGCGGAAUUCGUUGUGUAGCGGGGAAAUGCAUAGAUAUGACGAAGAACACCGAUUGCGUAGGCAGCUGACCAGAUCGCAAAUGACGCUCAUGCACGAAAGUGCGGGGAUCGAACAGGAUUAGAUACCCUGGUAGUCCGCACAGUAAACGAUGAAUACUUGUUUUCGGCGAUAUAAUGUCGGAGGCAAAGCGAAAGCGAUAAGUAUUCCACCUGGGGAGUACGCCGGCAACGGUGAAACUCAAAGGAAUUGACGGGG
RNAcentral lists this ribosomal RNA (392 nucleotides) under uncultured bacterium. RNAcentral describes it as "partial 16S ribosomal RNA". It matches the Rfam family "Bacterial small subunit ribosomal RNA", at positions 523 to 918 of the family's 1533-position model. The record is from RNAcentral.